Molecule: long non-coding RNA, 260 nt
Organism: Triticum aestivum (bread wheat)
Lineage: Eukaryota; Viridiplantae; Streptophyta; Magnoliopsida; Poales; Poaceae
Exons: 3
Source: RefSeq, a predicted model, not a curated record
UACUGAACUAUAUUCGAAACUAUCAGAGUGUAUAGCAGAUUAGAGCAGAUUACAGCAGCCUUAAAGAUUGUUGGCCAUUAACGGUUAUCCAUGGCACUAAAACUACUUGAUCUCAAUACAUUCACCUCACAACACUUGUUGGCGAAAACAUGUGCUAUAGCACCAAAGAAGUUGAGGUCAAAUUAAUGAGGUCAUCGACUUGAAGAUUGAUAAAUAUGGUUCUGUUAUUAUGCAGGAGUUGUGUGAUCUGAGGAGAAACU